CACCGCCGCGGCUGCCGCAGGUGAAGUGAGGUGAGCUCCGGUCGGGUCUGCGCUGCCACAGGGAGGCCGCCUGGGCCAGGCGAGCCGAACCAAUACUGGACCUGGAGGUGGUGCCUGAACGCUCUUUAAGGAACGAGCAAUGGAAAUUCACACUGGGAAUGCCUCUGGCUCAGGCAGUAGCCAUUCUUCAGAAGCACUGUCGCAUCAUCAAAAAUGUCCAGGCUCUCUACAGUGAACAGGUGAUCGAAGUAUAUGAUUUGACUAAAGUAAAGUUAAAAUAUUGUGGCGUGCAUUUUAAUUCUCAGGCCAUAGCUCCUACCAUUGAGCAGAUUGACCAGUCUUUUGGUGCAACCCAUCCUGGAGUGUACAACUCCACUGAGCAGCUCUUCCAUCUCAACUUCAGAGGACUGUCUUUCUCUUUUCAAUUAGACUCAUGGACCGAGGCUCCCAAGUAUGAGCCCAAUUUUGCCCACGGCCUGGCUUCUCUCCAGAUACCCCAUGGAGCAACUGUAAAACGAAUGUAUAUCUACAGUGGCAACAGCCUACAGGAUACCAAGGCUCCCAUGAUGCCUCUGAGCUGUUUCCUGGGCAAUGUGUAUGCUGAGAGUGUAGAUGUUCUUCGAGAUGGAACUGGACCUGCAGGUUUACAACUUUGCCUACUUACUGUAGGUUGUGGACCUGGCCUAUUAGCAGAUGCCAAGAUGCAGGUAUUUGAACGUUCAGUGUAUUUUGGUGAUUCCUGCCAAGAUGCUCUCAGCAUGCUUGGCUCUCCACACAAAGUCUUUUAUAAAUCAGAAAACAAGAUGAAAAUUCAUUCUCCUUCCCCUCAUAAACAAGUUCCAUCGAAGUGCAAUGACUACUUUUUUAACUAUUUCACUCUUGGAGUGGACAUCCUCUUUGAUGCAAAUACACACAAAGUGAAGAAGUUCGUUCUACACACCAGUUACCCUGGGCAUUAUAAUUUCAACAUUUAUCAUCGCUGUGAGUUAAAGAUCCCAUUAGCCAUAAAGAAAGAAAACGCAGAUGGUCAGACAGAAACGUGCACAACCUACAGUAAGUGGAACAACAUCCAGGAGCUCCUAGGUCACCCUGUGGAGAAGGCUGUUGUCCUGCACAGGUCUUCCUCCCCAAACACCACCAGCCCAUUUGGCUCCACGUUCUGCUUUGGUCUUCAGCAAAUGAUCUUUGAGGUCAUGCAGAACAACCACAUUGCCUCGGUGACCCUGUAUGGCCCCCCCUAGGCCUGGUACCCACCUGAGAACAUCGGAGCUCCCCUAGGGACAUCACAACUCAUGCCCCUCUGUCCCGUUUAACUGUGCCUCACAUCCUGCCCAGUGGGCCUCUGUACCACCCUGUGGGUUUUCUUGGACACCUGGCCAGUGUUGAAGGGCUGCUGUGAUAUUCUGAAGUUGGUCUCAGGCUGGGUGCUCUGCCAUGGGCUGAGCGGCCCAGAUAUUCUUCUGUCCAUCCUCGGCCUGCUGAUGUCAGCAGGGGACACAGACUGCAAAGAGAAGCACAAACUUUGAGCCUUGAUUCCUGGACCCAGGAGCUCUCAACUAACGUGCAAGGAAG
This is an RNA transcript of Sapajus apella (tufted capuchin), 1572 nucleotides long. It is a transcript of the gene named UPF0183 protein C16orf70 pseudogene, with no coding region annotated. The transcript has a single exon. NCBI's taxonomy places the organism in Eukaryota, Metazoa, Chordata, Mammalia, Primates, Cebidae. The record is from RefSeq and is a predicted model, not a curated record.